Molecule: long non-coding RNA, 3192 nt
Organism: Xenia sp. Carnegie-2017
Lineage: Eukaryota; Metazoa; Cnidaria; Anthozoa; Malacalcyonacea; Xeniidae
Exons: 3
Source: RefSeq, a predicted model, not a curated record
GUAUAGAGCACAGCGCCCACAUUGGCUUUUACAAAAUAUGCGGUCUUUUUUAUAACGAAUGUUACUGCAAACGCGCAUUGUGAAGUAUGUUAUUCUUUGUUAUUGAGCUUGCUUGUAAUAUGUUCUAUAAGAUAUUGAUGAUGCUCAAAAGUAUUCUAAUCGAUCAACAAGGGCACUUUAUAAACAAAGGGAUUAUAUUAUCAACUGCACUAUAUCAAUGUUGCUGUGUGUAUUCAAGACAUUGAAGUGAUUCAUUGAAUUGGAAUUUCAAAUACUGGUAUUUGUCAAGGAAGUAAUGUAUGUAUACUUACCAAAUGCUUUUGAUAAACUGUGAAAGUUCAACUCUUGUUGCUUCACUGAUAACUUCUUCUACAUGACCUUCCAUAGGAUCAAGGUAGUAUACCAUCUCUUUUUGUUUGUCGAUUACCUUUAAAAGUGACAAUAUUGAAAAUAAUAAAAAUUUGUUGCCUUGUCUUAGCUAUGUUGCAUCCAUAUUGUAUUUACCAAAAGUGUCCAAUGGCUCCCAGACAUAUUGAGAGGAAAUAUUAUUGUGUCAAUUGCCAUGAAAUUUUGAUCUGCCCACAGUCGACGUGUACUAGAUCCUCGUUGCACCAACUGACAUACAUAUGAUUCUGCUGGUAGGACACCAGGAUAUUCACAUGAAAGUUUCCAUAAGAAAGCGUUGAUAACCUAUAACAAUCAGGCUCAAUUACCAUUUCAUCAUUUGUCUCUGAUGCAUGAUAAUCAUAUGUAAGCUGUAGAGUGUUUAAUCACUUGACUUACUGUAUCACUAAGCCAUCCAGGUGCCACAGUUUUAUUUUCAAUUAGUGUGGCAGCAUAUUUAGUCAUCUCAUUUGGUGGAAUGAGGGUCCAUAAAUCCUGAAGAGUCACUUUGUUUGGUCCAAAUUCUAGCAUUUGAUCACCUAACUUAAUUCCAUUUAGAGAGGCAUUCAGUAAGGGAUCCAGUGGAUUUGCCUUGUGCUCAGCUGAGACGUCAACACUACAGUUGCCAUUUAGGAAAAGAAAAGUGGACUAUGUGUAAUGGUAUAGUCCUCACUCAUAUUAAAUAAUUACUACAUAGUAAAUAUAAAUACUACACUGAAAUGUUACUACCCCCCUCUCAUCAUUGCACAAAUAUUUUUGGAAAAUUUUUCUCCAUUCAAUAUUUCUCUAUUGCUAUAUGUUUGUACCUGCUUGAAUUUCUUUUUUCAUUCUCCUGGUUUUGCACAUUAGUGGACACCUAUGGAAAUAAAAAGACUACUUUCAGAAAAUACUCGUGACGAGAUGUAAUCUAAAGAAUUACGAACAACUUUUUCAAACGUUGUUUUUGAGUAUGGCAAAAAUGAGUGCGAUUUAGAAGACAAAAACCCACAAUUUGGUGAUGCCCUUCGUAUCGUAUAUCUAAUGGCUGGUGAAAAUUACUUUUGAAACAAUACUUUAAUAAGAUAUUGGAAAGUAAGAUAAGUGCUUUUGUCUUUUUACUCUUUUCGGACGGAUAAGAAAUUUUUUAAACAUAAAAGUAAUAAUUUGAGAGAAGCUUUUUUAAGAAAUGACAAGAAAGCAAUUCAAUAACUUGUCUUACUUGUGCCAUUUCAUCGCCCACAUUAGUAAGAUCUAUUGUAAAUGGUGUAGAUUUUUUUGUCUUGCGUCGUCUGGGAGGUAGGGCCUUAUGAAAGAUUUGAUGGUAUUUUGUCUCGGUAACCUUUAAUUUUUUUUUCACAGGACUCAAUCGAAGAGGCAAACCAUUUUCUGUGGGAAAGUUUUGUUCAAAAAACUGUUUCAAGCUUUCAGCUUUUUGCACUGCUUCUUGUAGAGUGGUCUCGUUGUCGAUCAGGAAGGUCAUACUGUGUAUUUGGCCCAGUUGUUCUUGCAAGAUCUUUCUGAGCCUUUUGGAACUUUUGUUUGAAGUAGUUUCAAACUUAACUGUUUCUUCGUGGGGUAUGUCGUGGAUAUAUUUUUUGUUAUCAGAAGACAACGAUUCUUGCAAAACAACGUCUCUUUUGAUGGUGCUCCAUGAUGACGCAUUGGCUUCCUCAAGUUCUUCUGGCGUAGUAUCUUGUGGCAAUCCAAGAGGUUCAUUGUCGAGAGUGAAGAAAACGCUAUUUCGGUAGUGUUCUGGAAGACUUUCGAAAUCCCACUCGUCAUAGAAAGAAAAAACUGCGAAAAAAUGUUUGCAAGGGAAAUGGGUAGUGUGCCAUAUGUUGCAGGUACAACUUGGUUCUCGGAAGUCUGUAAAAUAUUUCUUUCCAACAUUGCUCUCGCUCUUGACAUUGAACGUGCCCUUCUUUAAAUUAACCGGAUUUAUGUCGUCCUGUUUGAAAAUGGCUGAAGCGUAUCGAUUUUUAAGGCAACAUUUCAAAAAGUGUGGAGGUCUGUUGUGCAAGUAUUCUGGGAUUGAUGGGUUGUACUUGCAGUAGGCGCUGCUCAGUCGCAGGUUUGCAUCCAAAUAGUGCUGAAGAACAUCGGGAAUGAAAGAUUCAACCAACAUCACCGCAAUACCAUACACAGAUUUGUCAAUACUUUGGGAAGGAAGUGUUGUUGCUGUUCAUAUGACAAUCCAUUCUUGCUUGCUGAAGCCCACCGUUUUAGCGCUUGCAACCUGUGAAAGUCGCAAACAUAAACCUGUACAUCGGGAAAACUUUUUUCUAUCGCGCCUAUUUCUGCUAAUGAGUAAUCCACCAUAAAAUAUUUUGGGUUCCAUACUGGAUUCCAUCCUUUUAUAAUAGCCAGAGCCUCUUCUAUGGCUUCUUCGGUCUCUGUCUGGCACAUAAAUUCAGCCACAACUUUGUAGCCAACGUUUGAAUGAACGCACACAAAGAAAAGCGGUAUUGCGUACUUUGUUGUUUUGUAUGUGGUGUCCAUGAGACACAAUUGUCCGCCAUAACGAAUCAACAUUCGUUGUUGCCAAUGCUCUUGAUGCACAAACAAAAACUUUUUAUCGUCCUUUGGAGGAAUAUCGUUUCUGGAAGCGUUAUCUCUUGUGCGGUAGAAAAACUUGCUGCUUGGAGAAUUCUGUUUCCAGGUUUCUACCUUCCUGCGCAGGGACUCUUGUUCGUCUUUGCAGUCCUUAAGGGACUCUAUUGCUUUUGCUACGUGGUUUCGAAUAUCCUUUUUAUUUGGAUAGUACCGUUUAUUUGUCCUGCGCGGUGUAGCCUUUUGUCCGUCUUGUGGAAAUAAAGUCUCUUCAACGUA